Molecule: unclassified non-coding RNA, 1448 nt
Filed under: Leishmania donovani
Lineage: Eukaryota; Euglenozoa; Kinetoplastea; Trypanosomatida; Trypanosomatidae
Description: gene:LdHU3.18.2100(CDS-product:hypothetical_prote in_conserved)
Source: RNAcentral
UCUCCCCCUCUCUGACGCUCCGCUUUGGCUUGUCUUCUCUCUUCGAGCCCGCGUCCGUUUCGUGUGCCACUGCCACUAGCGCAUUCAUUCUUCGUGCCAUCAAGCAUCCUCUGGCUGUGCGCCUGACUUCUGUGCCGCUGCUGCGUUGCUCUCUACACCCGCUAUUUGCCGCUUCUCCACCACCUCUCACCCUCAGCAAGCCCACCGUUUUUCAUUCAGUAGUCUUCACAGGGAUUGUGCUGCUCGAUUUCACCGUCACGAACAAUGUCCGAGAUGAACCUCAUUGUGAACAUUACGUGCAACCCGCCCGUCAUCUCCAUCUUUGGGCCCAUCAAGGAGAGCACGAUUGAUCGCCUUAACGAGACGAUUCCGAAUUCCUGUUCUACCACCAACACCGGCAAGACGCCGUUUGCACUGGUGCGCAAGGAUGACCCUCCGCACUGGUUCGGCGAGUUGCGCACUCAGUUUGCCACUGAGGAUAUCGGCACAUCGAUGCUAUUCAUCUCGGUUCUGGACGCGCUCGAGGAGGAGGGUGUCUGGAAGUUGCGGGGCAGCACCUCCUUGAGCCACGACUGCAACAAGACCACCUACAAGUUCUUCUUUGUCCGCGGCGCUCAUUAGCUCUUCUCCUGCGCUAAAAAGCAGCUCGUUUUGAAUGCGUUUGUCUCACGCGGAUCUGCGGCUGCAGCGCCAGCACCGCCAUGGGGGCUACUCGUGUCGAGGUGGCCUAUUCGUGUUUCUCUGUGAGUCGUUGAGGCAAAAGCCAAUCCCUGCCUUCUCUCUUUAUGUACAUAAUGCAUAGCGCUAAUUCACCAGCGCAACCGACGAAUUGGAGGUAAACGAAAAAGCAAAGGAGGUGGUCCGAACGGGAUAGAGCGGAUGGGGACGCUGGCGCCGCCAAUGCUAUAGCGAAUGCACACCUCUCCUAGCGCUCUUCUUUCGGCGUUGUUUUCUUUUUCUCUUGCUGACAUGACGAGAAUGUAAUGAUUUGCCAUUUCCAGUUUUUUUUUUAGCUGAUACCCACCCUACCACACUCCCUCGCUCUUCAUGUUCAGCACUUGCCGCCGCGUCUUCAUCGCAUCGGUUUUCUUUUCUUCAUGUUCUCGAUUGAAUUUCUGCGCCCCACCCUUUCUCUCUUUUCACUGUUAUGCCCCUGCCCCAGUGCUGUUUGAGCUGAGGCGGUGACGAGUGGGUUUAGGCGUGGGGCCCAGUGGGUGACAGAUCCGCCAAAAAAAAAGCGAACAAACAAACAACGAACCCCGGAGAGCAAACACACGAAAGGAUCACUUUUUUUCUCUUUUCCUUUUCGCUAGCCUUGGCGCCACGCUAGCCGGAUGGGGCCUUGCCUACGUCAUCUCUGGCGUACAGUGGUGUGGCGGCUCGUGCUUCGCAGAGGGCGCACAGUUUUCAAACGUAUGUGGGGCACCACCCUACUUGACCGGCUCAUU